RNAcentral lists this ribosomal RNA (494 nucleotides) under uncultured bacterium. Its description in RNAcentral is "partial 16S ribosomal RNA". It matches the Rfam family "Bacterial small subunit ribosomal RNA", at positions 28 to 507 of the family's 1533-position model. The record is from RNAcentral.
GACGAACGCUGGCGGCGUGCUUAACACAUGCAAGUCGAACGGUGAAGCGCCUUCCUUUUUGGUGGGUGUGGAUGAGUGGCGAACGGGUGAGUAACACGUGAGUAACCUGCCCCCUUCUUCUGGAUAACCGCAUGAAAGUGUGGCUAAUACGGGAUAUUCUGGGUCUGUCGCAUGAUGGGUCUGGGAAAGAUAUUGUUUCGGUGGGGGAUGGGCUCGCGGCCUAUCAGCUUGUUGGUGGGGUGAUGGCCUACCAAGGCGGUGACGGGUAGCCGGCCUGAGAGGGUGGACGGUCACAGCGGGACUGAGCCACCGCCAAGACUACUACGGGAGGCAGCAGUGGGGAAUAUUGCACAAUGGGCGCAAGCCUGAUGCAGCGACGCCGCGUGAGGGAUGGAGGCCUUCGGGUUGUGAACCUCUUUCGCCAGUGAAGCAGGCCUGCCUCGUUUGUGGGUGGGUUGACGGUAGCUGGAUAAGAAGCGCCGGCUAACUACGUG